AGUUCGCGUCUCUUGGUGGGAGUAGAUUGCUCCAGUGUACUGUCCCCAGGGGAGCGCUUUGCUUUCUCUCAUUAUAGUUCUGAGGCCCUAGCUACUCACUUUGCAAACUCCAGGCUCCGGUCGCGCACGGGACGAACUGCGGGGAGUGAGCCGCGCGGGCCGCCGUAGUCAGCUGCUAAGAGCAGGAAGAGUCCGAGCGGUGGGCGGAGUCUGCAGGAUGGCACCGGACCCCUGGUUCUCCACAUACGAUUCUACUUGUCAAAUUGCCCAAGAAAUUGCUGAGAAAAUUCAACAACGAAAUCAGUAUGAAAGAAAAGGUGAAAAGGCACCAAAGCUUACCGUGACAAUCAGAGCUUUGUUGCAGAACCUGAAGGAAAAGAUCGCCCUUUUGAAGGACUUAUUGCUAAGAGCUGUGUCAACACAUCAGAUAACACAGCUUGAAGGGGACCGAAGACAGAACCUCUUGGAUGAUCUUGUAACUCGAGAGAGACUACUUCUGGCAUCCUUUAAGAAUGAGGGUGCCGAACCAGAUCUAAUCAGGUCCAGCCUGAUGAGUGAAGAGGCUAAGCGAGGAGCACCCAACCCUUGGCUCUUUGAGGAGCCAGAGGAGACCAGAGGCUUGGGUUUUGAUGAAAUCCGGCAACAGCAGCAGAAAAUUAUCCAAGAACAGGACGCAGGCCUUGAUGCCCUUUCCUCUAUCAUAAGUCGCCAAAAACAAAUGGGGCAGGAAAUUGGGAAUGAAUUGGAUGAACAAAAUGAGAUAAUUGACGACCUUGCCAACCUAGUGGAGAACACAGAUGAAAAACUUCACAAUGAAACCAGGCGGGUAAACAUGGUGGACAGAAAGUCAGCCUCUUGUGGGAUGAUCAUGGUGAUUUUACUGCUGCUCGUGGCUAUCGUGGUUGUUGCAGUCUGGCCGACCAACUGAUGGCAGUAAAGAGACCACCAGCAGUGACACCUGCCAAUGACAGAUGCAAGCCCAACACCCUUUUGAAAUGACUUGCCGUCCCGCUGAGGCUCCAGUCUGAUAAGGCAGCCUGUCUGGCCAACUGAGACCUGGAUGUCAUCCCUGCCCACCCACUGUCAGGCGUUGUCAUUUCAGCAGAGACUUACACCUGAGACUGAUUGGGACACCCGGAGACCACUCACGUAUGUACCUGCCCUGGCUUUGACCCCAGGCUCUGAGAGCCUAGCUCCCAUCCGCAGAGCCAGACCCCCAAGGCAGCAGGGCUGGCCCUGUUUCUUCCUGAGCAGAAGCUAAUGGCAUCUCCAGUCAGCUCUCCACACAGCAGGGAAGGGGCUUUCCAUACCUUCGAAGGAAGGGCCUAUUGAGCCUGCGUUGCUGAGGGGCUAGACCGGGCCCAUGGCUGAGGGUUGCCUUCAAAACAGCUGGGUGCAGAAAUUAUAGCUUCCUAGUGACGAUCGGCCCCACUUUGCGUGGCAACACAAUAUGUUCCUAAUGACUGAAUUGUUUAUUUAAUAAAGAAAUCACAACCAUUUGGAGGUUUAAAUAUAGCCUCUCAGAAACCAAGUGAGCUCAGCUCUUGGUGGCUGCGUGGUGCUGGCACUGGCCCAGUCUCUGCACCGCACGAAGCCUUUAGCAAUCGCUUGAAAAAAAAUAUUUUGCAAGCUCUCUUGAGUUUCACUAACCCUGCUGUAGUUUCUUGAGUCUCUACUUGGCUUUCAUAGAAGAAGCCAGUUAUGUAAAAGUCAGAAACUACCUGCAGGUUCUGAAUCAAAUUGGGAGGGUCAAAGGUGGCUCUCCGCCCACCCGGGGGUUGCAGGUAAGGCAAAGUGGGAGGGGACCCCUUUCCCCCCACUCUGUCUUGGAACUCCAGGGAAUGGCAAGGAUGGGUCCCUGGAGUGGUUUCCUGCAGCCUGCAAUACAGACGACUGUCCCAUUUGAGAACCUUUUAGCUCAAAACAGCACGGCCAGCAAGGCCCUAGGACAUUCCAAGCAAAACUGCUCUUUUCCUGCCUUCUCGGGGGAGUUAGGGCUCUGUCUCUGAGGCUCUGGGUAAAACCCAGGCUCUGACUUGCAGGGGAGUUCUUCGGCCUGAAGCCAUAUUCCUCAAACUCCCCGAAAACUCCAUCCUUCCCUUGCCUCCCCACACGCCCACCUCCCACAGCCCAGGCCACCAAUCAAGACUGCGAGACGGCAUAGU
Molecule: RNA transcript, 2165 nt
Organism: Gorilla gorilla gorilla (western lowland gorilla)
Lineage: Eukaryota; Metazoa; Chordata; Mammalia; Primates; Hominidae
Gene: STX8
Gene name: syntaxin 8
Exons: 10
Source: RefSeq, a predicted model, not a curated record